GGGCCUGUGGUGUAGCGGUUAACAUGCCUGCCUGUCACGCAGGAGAUCGCGGGUUCGAAUCCCGUCAGGCCCGCCA
Molecule: transfer RNA, 76 nt
Filed under: Salicibibacter kimchii
Lineage: Bacteria; Bacillati; Bacillota; Bacilli; Caryophanales; Bacillaceae
Also listed under: 3 other names
Description: tRNA-Asp
Rfam family: tRNA
About the family: Transfer RNA (tRNA) molecules are approximately 80 nucleotides in length. Their secondary structure includes four short double-helical elements and three loops (D, anti-codon, and T loops).
Source: RNAcentral